UACGUAGGGUGCAAGCGUUAAUCGGAAUUACUGGGCGUAAAGCGUGCGCAGGCGGUUAUGUAAGACAGGUGUGAAAUCCCCGGGCUUAACCUGGGAACUGCAUUUGUGACUGCAUAGCUAGAGUACGGUAGAGGGGGAUGGAAUUCCGCGUGUAGCAGUGAAAUGCGUAGAUAUGCGGAGGAACACCGGUGGCGAAGGCGGCAUCCUGGACCGGUAUUGACGCUGAGGCGCGAAAGCCAGGGGAGCAAACAGG
This 253-nucleotide ribosomal RNA is filed under the name uncultured bacterium. RNAcentral's name for it is "partial 16S ribosomal RNA". It matches the Rfam family "Bacterial small subunit ribosomal RNA", at positions 524 to 776 of the family's 1533-position model. The record is from RNAcentral.